GAUGAACGCUGGCGGCGUGCCUAAUACAUGCAAGUCGAGCGAACAGACGAGGAGCUUGCUCCUCUGACGUUAGCGGCGGACGGGUGAGUAACACGUGGAUAACCUACCUAUAAGACUGGGAUAACUUCGGGAAACCGGAGCUAAUACCGGAUAACAUGUUGAACCGCAUGGUUCAACAGUGAAAGACGGUCUUGCUGUCACUUAUAGAUGGAUCCGCGCCGCAUUAGCUAGUUGGUAAGGUAACGGCUUACCAAGGCGACGAUGCGUAGCCGACCUGAGAGGGUGAUCGGCCACACUGGAACUGAGACACGGUCCAGACUCCUACGGGAGGCAGCAGUAGGGAAUCUUCCGCAAUGGGCGAAAGCCUGACGGAGCAACGCCGCGUGAGUGAAGAAGGUCUUCGGAUCGUAAAACUCUGUUAUUGGGGAAGAACAAAUGUGUAAGUAACUAUGCACGUCUUGACGGUACCUAAUCAGAAAGCCACGGCUAACUACGUG
Molecule: ribosomal RNA, 497 nt
Filed under: uncultured bacterium
Lineage: Bacteria
Description: partial 16S ribosomal RNA
Rfam family: Bacterial small subunit ribosomal RNA
Source: RNAcentral